GUGGAGUCCAGGUGUUGGCUACAGUACUGAGCAGUGUACCGCAGUCCAUGACGCCACACAAAGAGAGAAUGGUUUCGACGGGGCUGGUCAAGACAUUGGGUUCCCUGUGUGAUGGUUCUAGACACA
This is a non-coding RNA of Engraulis encrasicolus (European anchovy), 126 nucleotides long. Lineage: Eukaryota; Metazoa; Chordata; Actinopteri; Clupeiformes; Engraulidae. The record is from RefSeq and is a predicted model, not a curated record.